This 66-nucleotide transfer RNA is filed under the name Levilactobacillus brevis. RNAcentral describes it as "tRNA-OTHER". It matches the Rfam family "tRNA". Rfam says of the family: Transfer RNA (tRNA) molecules are approximately 80 nucleotides in length. Their secondary structure includes four short double-helical elements and three loops (D, anti-codon, and T loops). Lineage: Bacteria; Bacillati; Bacillota; Bacilli; Lactobacillales; Lactobacillaceae. The record is from RNAcentral.
ACACGCAUAGCUCAAUGGCAGAGCAGACAGUAUUGCCUGACGCGGGUUCGAAUCCCGCUGCGUGCA